Molecule: ribosomal RNA, 1815 nt
Filed under: Triticum aestivum (bread wheat)
Lineage: Eukaryota; Viridiplantae; Streptophyta; Magnoliopsida; Poales; Poaceae
Description: partial small subunit ribosomal RNA
Source: RNAcentral
AUGUCCAAAUCUACUCCUGUUAAAGCAAGCAAGAAUUCUGAAUUGAAGAAAUCUACAGCCAUCUUAACAAUAGCAAAUGGCCAUGCUUGUAAGAAGGAUGCAAUUGGUGGAGAGCAUCCUGUCCAUGACAUCAAGUCCACUGGUACUUGGAUCUGUAGAAAUUCUUUCUGCAAGAGGUGCUCAUGUUGUAUUUGCCAUCAGUUUGAUGACAAUAAAGAUCCUAGUCUAUGGUUGGUUUGUGCAUCUGAAAAUGACGACAAACAGUGCUGUGGUUCUUCUUGCCAUAUCGAGUGUGCCCUCCAACAAAAGCGGGUGGGAUGCUUUGAUCUUCAAAAAAUUAUUCAUCUUGAUGGGAGUUAUUCAUGUGCUUCAUGUGGGAAGAUAUCUGGGAUACUAGGUUAUUGGAAAAGGCAAUUAGUGAUUGCAAAGCAGGCUCGCCGAGUUGAUAUACUCUGCCACCGCAUCUAUGUGAGUUAUCAGUUGUUGGAGGGUACGAGCUGUCAUACAGAAUUGCAUAACAUUAUUCAAGAUGCAAAAGCAAAACUUGAAUGUGAGGUCGGUCCACUUGAUGGAAUGUCGGCAAAGAUGGCACGUGGUAUCGUAAGCAGGUUAUCUGGUGGUAGUAAUAUACUGAAACUUUGCUCUCUAGCGAUUCAAAAAGUUGAUGAGUUGUUGAGUUCUCCAUCUCCAGGCUUGCAUGUUCGAGGUUCAUUACCAGCUGCGUGCAGAUUCAAAUUCGAAGAUAUUACAUCGUCUUCCCUUGUUAUCAUCCUAAAAGAAACUAAAUUAGCAUCACCGGACACCAUCAAAGGUUAUAAGCUAUGGUACUGGAAGAGCAGAGAGCAACCAAGCAUGGAUGAACCUGUUAUUUUGUCAAGAGAUGAAAGAAAAAUACUUGUUUAUAACCUCGCCACAUGCACAGAAUAUUCCUUCAGAAUCAUAUCAUUCUCAGAUGCUGAUGCGACCAUUGGGCAUUCCGAGUCUAAAUGUUAUACUGCGAGCAAGGAGGUAUUUGUCAAAUCUGUGACCCAGAAGGCCACGGGAAUAUGCCCGCAGACGCAGACAACGGAUAGGAGCCAGGCUUGUAUGUCCACUGGAUUUAGGAUCCGAGAUGCUGGGAAGAUCUUGCGGCGAGCUUGGGCUGAAGAAGGCUGUUUUGAGGAUAUGUACGAAGGUUCAUGUGACAUAAGUGCCACAGAAGCAGACCAGGCAGAGAACAGUGAACAGGGUCAUAUGUUAUCUGGUGCAUGUCGCAAACUUCAGUUCAAUGCAUUUUCUGUCCCUGACCUAAAUGCACCCAUGCCCAUGGACAUAGACUCUUCCCCUGAGAAGAGCUAUGAUUUAAAUAACAGGCUUUUUAGGUCAAAUGACAGUGGUGGCUCAGAGGCUUGCGAGGCAGUCAGGAGCGCGGAGCCGGCUGCUGUUGAAUCUCGGCCAGGAGGCAAGGCAAAGCAGCCCAAUGGUGCUCAGAAUGAAAGCUGUGAGCAGGAUGGAGUUUCAGCCAUCUGCCGCCAAAAGCAACUUCUGAAAAGGCCUAGAGUUCUGGAUGAGGACUAUGAGUACUGUGUGAAGGUGAUACGGUGGCUGGAGUGUGACGGGCACAUAGAGACUGAUUUCAGAUUGAAGUUUUUGACUUGGCUGAGUCUAAGAUCGACUGAGAAUGAGCAUAGGGUUGUGAACACAUUCAUCAAAACACUAAUCAAAGAACCAAGCAGUCUGGCUGAGCAGCUUGUUGAUUCUUUCGGAGAGAUGAUAAACUGCAAGAGACCAAAAGUAGGUUUCGGCAGUGAGCUAUGGCAUUUGGACAAACAAUAA